AGAGGUUUGAACUCUGGCUCGAGGACGAACGCUGGCGGCGUGCUAACACAUGCAAGUCGAGCGGUAAGGGCCCUUCGGGGUACACGAGCGGCGAACGGGUGAGUAACACGUCGGGUGACCCGCCCUCCACUUCGGGGAUAAGCCUGGGAAACUGGGUCUAAUACCGGAUAGGACCUCUUGGUGCAUGCCGAGUGGUGGAAAGUUUUGUCGGUGGGGAUGGGCCCGCGGUCUAUCAGCUUGUUGGUGGGGUGAUGGCCUACCCAAGGGCGACGACGGAUAGCCGGCCUGAGAGGGUGAUCGGCCACACUGGGACUGAGACACGGCCCAGACUCCUACGGGAGGCAGCAGUGGGGAAUCUUGCGCAAUGGGCGAAAGCCUGACGCAGCAACGCCGCGUGAGGGAUGACGGCCUUCGGGUUGUAAACCUCUUUCGCGAUCGACGAAGGCCCGUCUUGUUGGCGGGUUGACGGUAGGUCGAGAAGAAGCACCGGCCAACUACGUG
Molecule: ribosomal RNA, 501 nt
Filed under: uncultured Actinomycetospora sp.
Lineage: Bacteria; Bacillati; Actinomycetota; Actinomycetes; Pseudonocardiales; Pseudonocardiaceae
Description: bacterial SSU rRNA
Rfam family: Bacterial small subunit ribosomal RNA
Source: RNAcentral